CUUCUGCACACCAAGCUUGCAUUCUGCAAAACGUGAGCCCAACAGGAAGCUGCCUGCAAAUUCAGGUAGCUUUUCUUACUCUUAACCAGGUCUUGAAUAUACUUUCAGAGAAAUGCCAGCAAGAACUAUAAUCAUCUGGGGAAGAACAAAUCUGGAAGAAAAACACACAGAGGACUAGCACCAAGAGGAAAGGAAGGUGGAGAAAUGGAGAACAAGAUAAAGGCCUGGAAUCCCUGCUGCUCCAGAAAGGGAAGAAGGACUCCGAAAACAGUAAGAAGUCAGGACUGUUAACACCAAUGGAGGUUCCUCAUAGGACCACAGAAACUGGAUCUGCAUGCACUCUCUAAAAAGAAGUAGAAGAAGAAGAAAAGAAAAAGAAAGAAAUAUUAUGAAGAACUUUAUGCCAAUAACUUAACAACUUUAAUAAAAUGCACAUAUGUACUGAAUAGCAUGAGCUUCCAUAGCUCAUUCAGGAUGGAAGAACUAGAUUUUGAUUAGCCCUGUAUCUAUUAAGAAGUUAAAUCUUUUUUUCUCCUUUUUUUAAAAAAAGAUUUCUUUCUUUUUUUUCUUGUUACUCUAAUAAAAAGGCAAAAGUAAAAAAAAAUUUUUUUCAGGGGUACAGGUCUGUGAUUCAUCAGUUUUACAUAAUACCCAUUGCUUAUUACAACACAUACCCUCCCCAAUCUACUUUUUAACUGCAAUCUGUUAAAGAAGUUGAAUGAAAAUCCUUUCCACAAAGAAAAUUCACUGGUGAACUCUACCAAGCACUUAAGAAAGACAGAACAUCUAAACAAACUCUUCUAGAAAACUGAAGAAGAGGAAAUACUUUCUAACUCAUUUUCUGAGACUAGUAUUAGUUGACUACCAAAACCAGGCAAAGAUAGUAAUGAAAACUAAAGACCAAUAUCCCCCAGGAGGACAGAUGUAAAAACCCUUAGCAAAACUUUAGCAAGUUAAAUGUGAC
RNAcentral lists this long non-coding RNA (964 nucleotides) under Ailuropoda melanoleuca (giant panda). Its description in RNAcentral is "lncRNA (ENSAMEG00000026646.1)". The record is from RNAcentral. Lineage: Eukaryota; Metazoa; Chordata; Mammalia; Carnivora; Ursidae.